Non-coding RNA from Phrynosoma platyrhinos (Desert horned lizard), 72 nucleotides. The record is from the annotation of a GenBank genome assembly. Lineage: Eukaryota; Metazoa; Chordata; Lepidosauria; Squamata; Phrynosomatidae.
UCUUGAGUGUAGUAGUGGUUUGUGUGUUGGACUAUGACUCUAGAGACCAGGGUUCGAAUCCCGGCUCAGUCA